Molecule: ribosomal RNA, 207 nt
Filed under: uncultured bacterium
Lineage: Bacteria
Description: partial 16S ribosomal RNA
Rfam family: Bacterial small subunit ribosomal RNA
Source: RNAcentral
CGCGUAGGCGGCCUUUUAAGUCGGAUGUGAAAGCCCGGGGCCUAACCCCGGAAGUGCAUUCGAUACUGAGAGGCUCGAGUAUGGGAGAGGGAAGUGGAAUUCCUGGUGUAGAGGUGAAAUUCGUAGAUAUCAGGAGGAACACCUGUGGCGAAGGCGACUUCCUGGACCAAUACUGACGCUGAGGCGCGAAGGCGUGGGGAGCAAACA